CUAAUAUGAGGCUCGUUUACAUCCGAGCUCGAGCCCGAGCUCGAGCCCGAGCAGCUCACGAGCCCAAACGAGCUUGGGCCUUUGGCUAUUUGCUGAAUGCUGAUUGAUUGGUCUCCCAUGGCCAUGGGCCCACCCGGCCAGCCCACUCUCCAGCCGGACCAGCCCCCACCGUCCAUCGACCCAGAUCGUAAUCACCACCACUCAUCACUCAUCAGCUCAUGCAUGCCCUAGUCUCCUCGACUCCUCCUGUGACCCUGUCUCCCUCUCGAGUCUCGGCCGCCUCUCCCAAGUCCCACUCGACAGUCGACUCCCAACUCCCAAGUCCCAGCCCUCCCCCGAUUUCG
This 344-nucleotide long non-coding RNA is filed under the name Phoenix dactylifera (date palm). RNAcentral describes it as "long non-coding RNA (PDAC_LNC009593)". Lineage: Eukaryota; Viridiplantae; Streptophyta; Magnoliopsida; Arecales; Arecaceae. The record is from RNAcentral.